UCCUUGUUAGUAUAAUUGGUUAGUACAUCUGUCUCACGGCAGGGGAUCGGGGUUCAAGUCCUCGACAAGGAC
Molecule: transfer RNA, 72 nt
Filed under: Mytilus edulis (blue mussel)
Lineage: Eukaryota; Metazoa; Mollusca; Bivalvia; Mytilida; Mytilidae
Also listed under: 1 other name
Rfam family: tRNA
About the family: Transfer RNA (tRNA) molecules are approximately 80 nucleotides in length. Their secondary structure includes four short double-helical elements and three loops (D, anti-codon, and T loops).
Source: Rfam by way of RNAcentral